RNAcentral lists this transfer RNA (64 nucleotides) under Parvasolenaia rivularis. RNAcentral's name for it is "tRNA-Ile". Lineage: Eukaryota; Metazoa; Mollusca; Bivalvia; Unionida; Unionidae. The record is from RNAcentral.
AGUAUCACGCCGGAAGAACGGACUACCCUGAUGAGGCAGAACAUAGGCCUGUGCCUUGAUACUU